RNAcentral lists this long non-coding RNA (1284 nucleotides) under Apteryx rowi (Okarito brown kiwi). RNAcentral's name for it is "lncRNA (ENSARWG00000013726.1)". Lineage: Eukaryota; Metazoa; Chordata; Aves; Apterygiformes; Apterygidae. The record is from RNAcentral.
GACAUAUCACAAAAGCAGACUCUAUCCUAGAUGUAGAAUUGGUCUGUGUAAUUUGGAAGGAAGCAUAGCACUCACAGAAAUACUUGCUGCUGAAGGGAAGGUCUGAUGAGACAUGAUGUUCAGCCCAAUUUGCAGUCAGAGUGGCUUACCAAAAGGUGAUCCUAUCAACCCAUUUGAAGUCCAGAAGAGCAGCUGGAGAGAUUCCUGAAGAAGUUGUCAUGACAGUGUGGUAUGGCUGUGGAAAACAAGGGCCGUAGCCCAAAGCUCACUGUUUUCACUAUCACUGCAACCGUACAGGGUGACAUAGAAGUGGAUGAAACAGUGCCUAGUCUUGCCUUCAGCAAGUACAGCCACAGCGGUGGUGUAUUGCUGCCCAGCUGCUUAGGCUGGGGACAAGCUAUCUGUCCUUGCUAUUACUUUAGAGUUUCCACCACCAAUUCUUCUCUUCUGUCUGAUUGAGGGAAAGAGGAGUGUUUUUCUAGCUCCAGUCUGAAGAGAAAAGGCCUGGACAUAAGGAAGCAGCAUCAGAUGAUCACACUGCUGAUGACUACUCUGACUUUCAUGGGCAAUCCUUAGGCUAGAGGAAGCACUUCCUUAUCCUCACCUGGGAAAGCCCUAAUGCUAUAAAUGCAUCAUGGUACUCACAGACACACAGACUUUGGGAUACAGGGCAGAGACACUUGGUCUGCAGAGAAGCCUGCUACUUCAGCCAAAAUUGAAAGGGCACUUGCUAUUUUGCUUUGCUGAACUGUGAUUCUGUUUUAUAACUCCUGACACACUAACUAAGGUUUGGUAUGUGACUGAUGAUGUUGCUAGGAGUGAACAUGUGCACUGCCUAACUUCAUCUCACUGUGUUAAGUUCUGUUUGGAAUUUAAAAAAAAAGGUUGUUUUAACAUCUAUGCCUGCAUUUGCUGUCUCAGAAUUGCUGCUCCAGGGUGCAGACAGGAGAAACCCUGGAUAGGGGAGUUGGAUAAGGAACUAGGAGGCAGAGCUGCAGAGCUUGCAAGGGGCAGGUAGCUCCUCAUGCAAAACCAGGAUUAGUCAGGGGCACACUGAGAAGCAACAACCAGGGAGAGGUGGACCAGGGAGAAGCAGUUAGUGUAGCAGCUCAGAGCAGGUUAAGCAGCCAUGGUGGCUCAUAGCACACAAAGUGGGCAGUCACCCAGGAGUGGCCAGCUGAGGGUACUGUGCAAGGCAUGCCCAGCAGUGUUGGACGGCAUUGUUGGCAGAACACACAGGAGCUGGCGGCAAGCCCAGGAAAUAAACAUCGAAAGAUGAGAGCA